Molecule: ribosomal RNA, 497 nt
Filed under: uncultured bacterium
Lineage: Bacteria
Description: partial 16S ribosomal RNA
Rfam family: Bacterial small subunit ribosomal RNA
Source: RNAcentral
GAUGAACGCUGGCGGCGUGCCUAAUACAUGCAAGUCGAGCGAACAGACGAGGAGCUUGCUCCUCUGACGUUAGCGGCGGACGGGUGAGUAACACGUGGAUAACCUACCUAUAAGACUGGGAUAACUUCGGGAAACCGGAGCUAAUACCGGAUAAUAUAUUGAACCGCAUGGUUCAAUAGUGAAAGACGGUUUUGCUGUCACUUAUAGAUGGAUCCGCGCCGCAUUAGCUAGUUGGUAAGGUAACGGCUUACCAAGGCAACGAUGCGUAGCCGACCUGAGAGGGUGAUCGGCCACACUGGAACUGAGACACGGUCCAGACUCCUACGGGAGGCAGCAGUAGGGAAUCGUCCGCAAUGGGCGAAAGCCUGACGGAGCAGCGCCGCGUGAGUGAUGAAGGUCUUCGGAUCGUAAAACUCUGUUAUUAGGGAAGAACAAAUGUGUAAGUAACUAUGCACGUCUUGACGGUACCUAAUCAGAAAGCCACGGCUAACUACGUG